GUGUCAGCAGCCGCGGUAAUACGUAGGGUGCGAGCGUUAAUCGGAAUUACUGGGCGUAAAGCGUGCGCAGGCGGUUUCGUAAGACAGAGGUGAAAUCCCCGGGCUCAACCUGGGAACUGCCUUUGUGACUGCGAGGCUAGAGUACGGCAGAGGGGGGUGGAAUUCCACGUGUAGCAGUGAAAUGCGUAGAGAUGUGGAGGAACACCGAUGGCGAAGGCAGCCCCCUGGGCCGAUACUGACGCUCAUGCACGAAAGCGUGGGUAGCAAACAGGAUUAGAUACCCUGGUAGUCCACGCCCUAAACGAUGUCAACUAGGUGUUGGGUGGGUAAAACCAUUUAGUACCGUAGCUAACGCGUGAAGUUGACCGCCUGGGGAGUACGGCCGCAAGGUUAAA
RNAcentral lists this ribosomal RNA (395 nucleotides) under uncultured bacterium. RNAcentral's name for it is "bacterial SSU rRNA". It matches the Rfam family "Bacterial small subunit ribosomal RNA", at positions 505 to 898 of the family's 1533-position model. The record is from RNAcentral.